This 112-nucleotide ribosomal RNA is filed under the name bovine gut metagenome. The record is from RNAcentral.
UGGUGAUUAUAGCGAAGGGGAUCCACCUGUUCUCAUCCCGAACACAGCAGUUAAGCCCUUCAGCGCCAACUAUACUUAUCGCGAAGGCGAUUGGGAAACUAGGUCGUUGCCA